UUUUCGUCAUAAUAUUUUCUAAUAAAAAUAAAUUUUUUCAAUAAUCAAAAAUGUCAGCAGGUGAGAUAAAAAAGACAGAAGAACCUUUAAUAUUUCAUACAUAUCCUUUAUGUAAAUAUAGUGAUAUGCGAGAAGAAAUGAAACAAGAAGCAAUAGAAAUAUGUGUUACUGCAACAGAAAAAUAUACUGAUAACCAUGAAUUAGCAGCUCGAAGUAUUAAGGAAAAUUUAGAUAAUAGAUUCGGAGGUCCAUUUCAUGUUGUUAUUGGAGAAUCAUAUGCUUGUGCAGUUACAUAUCAAGCAACAUCAUUAUUAUACAUGUAUAAUGCUGGCAAUAUUGCUAUUCUUGUAUGGAGAACAGUUUCAACUUUUUAAUGACAAUAUUAAAAUUUUAGCAUUUUAUUUUUAACAACAUUUUAUACUUUAUAACAUAACAUUUCUCUUAUAUUUAUUUUACAUUCUCUUUUUCUGAAGAAGAAGAAUUUAUAAUAUGGGCUAGUACACUUAUUGCAACAGGCUUAGGUCUUGCUGUAGUGGGUUUUACAGGACGUUAUAUAAUUAAAAAAAUGCCACAUUUAUCUCAAAAAA
RNAcentral lists this unclassified non-coding RNA (587 nucleotides) under Apis florea (little honeybee). RNAcentral's name for it is "mitochondrial import inner membrane translocase subunit TIM14, transcript variant X1". The record is from RNAcentral. Lineage: Eukaryota; Metazoa; Arthropoda; Insecta; Hymenoptera; Apidae.